This 495-nucleotide ribosomal RNA is filed under the name uncultured bacterium. Its description in RNAcentral is "partial 16S ribosomal RNA". It matches the Rfam family "Bacterial small subunit ribosomal RNA", at positions 27 to 507 of the family's 1533-position model. The record is from RNAcentral.
GGACGAACGCUGGCGGCGUGCUUAACACAUGCAAGUCGAACGGAAAGGCCUGCUUUCCCUUGUGGAUUGCGGGUACUCGAGUGGCGAACGGGUGAGUAACACGUGAGUGAUCUGCCCCCAACUUGGGUAUAAGCCUGGGAAACUGGCUCUAAUUCCCGAUAGGACUGCAGGGUGGUGCCUGUGGUGGAAAACGAUUUUCUAGUGGUUGGGGAUGAGCUCGCGGCCUAUCAGCUUGUUGGUGGGGUAAUGGCCUACCAAGGCGGCGACGGGUAGCCGGCCUGAGAGGGUGGACGGCCACAUUGGGACUGAGAUACGGCCCAGACUCCAGCGGGAGGCAGCAGAGGGGAAUAUAGCACAAUGGGCGGAAGCCUGAUGCAGCGACGCCGCGUGGGGGAUGACGGCCUUCGGGUUGUAAACUCCUUUCGACCGCGAGAAAGCCACCUGGUUGGAAGGGUGGUGACGGUAGUGGUAGAAGAAGCACCGGCUAACUACGUG